This 253-nucleotide ribosomal RNA is filed under the name uncultured bacterium. RNAcentral's name for it is "partial 16S ribosomal RNA". It matches the Rfam family "Bacterial small subunit ribosomal RNA", at positions 524 to 776 of the family's 1533-position model. The record is from RNAcentral.
UACAGAGGGGGCUAGCGUUGCUCGGAAUCACUGGGCGUAAAGGGUGCGUAGGCGGGUCUUUAAGUCAGGGGUGAAAUCCUGGAGCUCAACUCCAGAACUGCCUUUGAUACUGAGGAUCUUGAGUCCGGGAGAGGUGAGUGGAACUGCGAGUGUAGAGGUGAAAUUCGUAGAUAUUCGCAAGAACACCAGUGGCGAAGGCGGCUCACUGGCCUGGUACUGACGCUGAGGCACGAAAGCGUGGGGAGCAAACAGG